Urocitellus parryii (Arctic ground squirrel) is the source of this 1491-nucleotide non-coding RNA. The record is from RefSeq and is a predicted model, not a curated record. Lineage: Eukaryota; Metazoa; Chordata; Mammalia; Rodentia; Sciuridae.
GGGCCAGAAGCAGCAGCGCCACCAGCAGUGCUGCGCGUCCCGCUUGCUUCAUGGUGCCACCGGCCCUAGACACACGGGUUGCGCAGGGUGAGGUUAUCGGAGAGUGUCUGCCUGAUGCAAGACGGAGCUCCAGUCUCUGUCCCUCGGGCUGGACUGAGGGCUCCUUGGGGAGCACAGGGUCUGUCCCGGGACUGCCGCCAGCCUUAUAUAGCGCUAGGACAGCUCCGACUGACGUCAGCCAAGAACAUGAACUGAUUGUAGAAGCAAUGACAGCAACUUUGAGUCCAGAGGUUUCGAGCCCCCAGAGCGGUACAUUUCUUGACAUUUGACUUAGUGUCCCUAGGGCUAGCACUGGAAGCAGCAUUAGAAUUGGAAGAGUGAGAAACCGGCUCCUGAAGUCUAGGCCAUGAAGAUUGCUCUACGACCCGAGUCCUUCUCCCUGUCUAGAACAGACAGCAGAGACUAGAGCUGGUUGCCACAWCAGACUAACCUGGGUUCCUGGCCUCUGGCACACAGAAGGGARGUGGGACCGUGGCGCUGUCUAUGGUGCUGACCCUGUCUUUAGAUGCGAAGAACUGUCAAGAAGCCUGGGGGAGAACUCUGGGAUGCUCAGAUCCAGUCCCUAGCCCAUUAUCAGGUUGUAGACUGGGGGAAUCCAGAACCUAUGCUGGCACUCAGCCAACACUAUAGGCAGCCCGCCACAACUUAAGUAUCCCCAGACUCUUGACCUUAUUAUAGUCCUGGAAUCUAAAUUCUACAGCUGUCUGAGCACCAAACACGAGGAUUUCUGGCUGGGCCAUUUGUUUCUGAGUUUCUUCAAAGUGGAAGUUUAACAAAUACCAGUUUUUCUCCCAGAAAUCAUAACAGCAGUAUUAUGCCUUUGCCCCUGUAGUUAAGAUCAGUAGGCAGGAAAUAAGAAAAUUGGGUUCAAGUUUUUAUUCUGCCACUCUUGGACAGGUUACCUCACUUCCACAGACCUUAGCGUCUGCAUUUGUAAAAGAAGACUUGGAGGAUGUAGGCUUCUUUCCAUCAAUAGCUAUUUUUAUAGUUUUCUCCUGGGUCUUACUCCUGACCUCUGCACGUUCCAGAUUAUGUAUUUAAAACAUUUACUGAAGCACAAUAAAGAGUUUGAAGGGAUCCCAAAGAGCACUAGGGUUGGGAAGGGCUAUAGUAACAGACAUGUAAAUGAAAAGUUGGCAUGAGUGGGAAUAAGACUAUGUCGUGUGCCAUAAACAAUGUUUCAGUCAAUGACAGACCACAUACAUAAUGGUGACCCUAUAAAAUUGUAAUGGAGUUGGAAACUCCUAUCCUACCACCUAGUGACAUGGUAACUGUUUUAACAUCACAGCACAAUGCAUUAAUCCUAUGUUUGUAGUGAUGCUGGUGGGAACAAACCUACUGCAUCACCAGUUGCUUUAAAGUAUAGCAUGUAUGACUUAUGUGCAGCACAUAAAACUUGAUAAUAAUAAUAAAGACAAUAUUACUGGUUUA